RNAcentral lists this ribosomal RNA (492 nucleotides) under uncultured bacterium. Its description in RNAcentral is "partial 16S ribosomal RNA". It matches the Rfam family "Bacterial small subunit ribosomal RNA", at positions 29 to 507 of the family's 1533-position model. The record is from RNAcentral.
AGUGAACGCUGGCGGUAGGCCUAACACAUGCAAGUCGAACGGCAGCACAGUAAGAGCUUGCUCUUACGGGUGGCGAGUGGCGGACGGGUGAGGAAUACAUCGGACUCUACUUUUUCGUGGGGGAUAACGUAGGGAAACUUACGCUAAUACCGCAUACGACCUACGGGUGAAAGCAGGGGAUCUUCGGACCUUGCGCGAUUGAAUGAGCCGAUGUCGGAUUAGCUAGUUGGCGGGGUAAAGGCCCACCAAGGCGACGAUCCGUAGCUGGUCUGAGAGGAUGAUCGGCCACACUGGAACUGAGACACGGUCCAGACUCCUGCGAGAGGCAGCAGUGGGGAAUAUUGGGCAAUGGGGGCAAGCCUGAUCCAGCCAUACCGCGUGGGUGAAGAAGGCCUUCGGGUUGUAAAGCCCUUUUGUUGGGAAAGAAAAGCAGCAGGUUAAUACCCCGCUGUUCUGACGGUACCCAAAGAAUAAGCACCGGCCAACUUCGUG